This 577-nucleotide ribosomal RNA is filed under the name uncultured bacterium. Its description in RNAcentral is "bacterial SSU rRNA". It matches the Rfam family "Bacterial small subunit ribosomal RNA", at positions 102 to 677 of the family's 1533-position model. The record is from RNAcentral.
ACGGGUGAGUAAAGCAUAAGAAUCUACCCAUUAGUUCGGGAUAGCCUGUGGAAACGCAGGGUAAUACCGGAUGUGGUCUAAGGACUAAAGGUGGCUUUUAGGAGCUGUCGCUAUUGGAUGAGCUUAUGUCGGAUUAGCUAGUUGGUGGGGUAAAAGCCUACCAAGGCGACGAUCCGUAGCUGUUCUGAGAGGAAGAACAGCCACAUUGGGACUGAGACACGGCCCAGACUCCUACGGGAGGCAGCAGUGGGGAAUAUUGGACAAUGAGGGAAACCUUGAUCCAGCAAUACCGCGUGUGUGAAGAAGGCCUGCGGGUUGUAAAGCACUUUCGUUAGGGAAGAAGGUUUAUAGUUUAAGAGAUAAUAAAUUUGACGUUACCUAAAGAAGAAGCACCGGCUAACUCUGUGCCAGCAGCCGCGGUAAUACAGAGGGUGCGAGCGUUAAUCGGAAUUACUGGGCGUAAAGCGUGCGUAGGUUGUAAUAUAAGUUAGGUGUGAAAUCCUGGAGCUCAACUUCAGAAUUGCGCUUAAUACUGUAUAACUAGAGUCUUGGAGGGGAUAGUGGAAUUUCCGGUGUA